RNAcentral lists this ribosomal RNA (460 nucleotides) under uncultured bacterium. RNAcentral's name for it is "partial 16S ribosomal RNA". It matches the Rfam family "Bacterial small subunit ribosomal RNA", at positions 338 to 795 of the family's 1533-position model. The record is from RNAcentral.
CCUACGGGGGGCAGCAGUGAGGAAUAUUGGUCAAUGGGCGCGAGCCUGAACCAGCCAAGUAGCGUGAAGGAUGACUGCCCUACGGGUUGUAAACUUCUUUUAUAAAGGAAUAAAGUGAGGCACGUGUGCCUUUUUGUAUGUACUUUAUGAAUAAGGAUCGGCUAACUCCGUGCCAGCAGCCGCGGUAAUACGGAGGAUUCGAGCGUUAUCCGGAUUUAUUGGGGUUAAAGGGAGCGUAGAUGGGUUGUUAAGUUCGUUGUGAAAGUUUGCGGCUCAACCGUAAAAUUGCAAUUGAAACUGGCAGUCUUGAGUGCAGUUGAGGUAGGCGGAAUGCGUGGUGUAGCGGUGAAAUGCUGAGAUAUCACGAAGAACCCCGAUUGCGAAGGCAGCUUACCAAGCUGCCACUGACAUUGAUGCUCGAAAGUGUGGGUAUCAAACAGGAUUAGAUACCCCAGUAGUC